RNAcentral lists this ribosomal RNA (487 nucleotides) under Saccostrea sp. non-mordax lineage F. RNAcentral describes it as "partial 16S ribosomal RNA". It matches the Rfam family "Bacterial large subunit ribosomal RNA", at positions 1832 to 2597 of the family's 2925-position model. Lineage: Eukaryota; Metazoa; Mollusca; Bivalvia; Ostreida; Ostreidae. The record is from RNAcentral.
CACUAGGAGAAGUUCACUCUUAGCAGUGCCUGCCCAGUGCAAAAAUUGUAAACGGCCGCCCUAGCGUGAGGGUGCCAAGGUAGCGAAAUUCCUUGCCUUUUAAUUGUAGGCCUGCAUGAAUGGAUUGACGAGGGUCAAGCUGUCUCUUGCCUUGAUGACGAAAUUGGACUAAAGGUGAAGAUACCUUUAUAGAAAAGUUAGACAAGAAGACCCCGUGCAGCUUUAAAAAAGUUACUUAUUAAGAGUUGUAAGAUUUUUAGGUGGGGCGCCUAGGAAGUAAAACUUAACCUUCUUAUUUGUUAAGAAAGGCUCUCAGGCAUAGACCCGGCAAGUCCGAUCAUGGGAGAAGUUACGCCGGGGAUAACAGGCUUAUCCAUUAGUAGAGCUCGUAUUGGCUAAUGGGAUUGGCACCUCGAUGUUGAAUUAAGGAUGAUAGCUCUAAGGCGUAGAAGCUUUAGAAGUGGGUCUGUUCGACCUUUAAUACCUU